AAAAUGACUCUCGGCAACGGAUAUCUUGGCUCUCGCAUCGAUGAAGAACGCAGCGAAAUGCGAUACUUGGUGUGAAUUGCAGAAUCCCGUGAAUCAUCGAGUUUUUGAACGCAAGUUGCGCCCGAAGCCUAGGCCGAGGGCACGUCUGCCUGGGCGUCACG
This 161-nucleotide ribosomal RNA is filed under the name Opilia amentacea. RNAcentral's name for it is "5.8S ribosomal RNA". It matches the Rfam family "5.8S ribosomal RNA". Rfam says of the family: 5.8S ribosomal RNA (5.8S rRNA) is a component of the large subunit of the eukaryotic ribosome. It is transcribed by RNA polymerase I as part of the 45S precursor that also contains 18S and 28S rRNA. The record is from RNAcentral. Lineage: Eukaryota; Viridiplantae; Streptophyta; Magnoliopsida; Santalales; Opiliaceae.